Molecule: ribosomal RNA, 2046 nt
Filed under: marine metagenome
Description: bacterial LSU rRNA
Rfam family: Bacterial large subunit ribosomal RNA
Source: RNAcentral
UCAAGUUAUUAAGGGCUCACGGUGAAUGCCUUGGGAUCAAGGACCGAUGAAGGGCGCGGUAAGGCUGCGAUAAGCCUCGAUUAGCCGUCUAACGGGCUUAGUCGAGGAUUCCCGAAUGGGGAAACCUGUUCCGGUGUUGAGCCGGUUCAUCUGCAUAGCAGAGGGUAAGUGGGGGAACUGAAACAUCUAAGUACCCCGAGGAAAAUAAAUCAACCGAGAUUCUCUUAGUAGUGGCGAACGAACGGGGAAUAGGCCAAACCCCUAUGACUUAGUGGUGUAAGGACCUAUGUCAUAGCGGUGUCGUAGGAGGCAUCUGAAAUCGCCUUGCCAGAUUUCAAGAAGUUACAAAACAUGAGUUUAGUCGAAGGACCCUGGGAAGGGCCGUCGUAGAGGGUGAUAGCCCCGUAGACGAAAAGUUCAUGUCUUCUGAUGCAUUUCCUAAGUACCACGGGACACGAGAAAUCUUGUGGGAAGUCGGGGGGACCACCCUCCAAGCCUAAAUAUCCUUGAUCACCGAUAGCGAACAAGUACCGUGAGGGAAAGGUGAAAAGAACCCCUAGCGGGGAGUGAAAUAGACCUGAAACCGUGAGCUUACAGAAGGUCGUAGUCCUGAUUUAUCAGGAUGUCGGCGUGCCUAUUGAAGAAUGAUCCAGGGAGUUACUUUAUGUAGCGAGGUUAAGAAACUGUAGUUUCGGAGCCGAAGCGAAAGCGAGUCUGAAUAGGGCGACUAGUUUCAUAGAGUAGACACGAAACCGAGUGAGCUAACCAUGGCCAGAUUGAAGGUCCGGUAACACGGACUGAAGGAUCGAACCCGUAGCUGGUACAAAAGCUUGGGAUGAGCUGUGGUUAGAGGAGAAAUUCCAAUCGAACUCGGAAAUAGCUUGUUCUCCCCGAAAUGUAUUUAGGUACAGCCUCGGAUUAAAGAUGAACGGAGGUAGGGCACUGAAUGGGCUAGGGGCCGUAAGGUUACCAAACCCAAUCAAACCACCAAUGCCGUUUAAUUGUUAUCCGGGAGUGAGACAGUCACAGAUAAGUGCGAUUGUCAAAAGGGAAACAGCCCAGACCACCGGCUAAGGCCCCCAAGUGCGGGCUAAGUGGGAAACGAGGUGGGAUUCCCUAGACAACUAGGAGGUUGGCUUAGAAGCAGCCAUCCUUUAAAGAGUGCGUAAUAGCUCACUAGUCAAGGGGUCCUGCGCGGAAAAUGUAACGGGGCUAAAGCCCGUCGCCGAAGCCGUGGAUUUUAGUAUGUAUUUACUGGGAUGGUAGGGGAGCGUUCCUCGGGCAGUGAAGUUGUAUCGUGAGGUACAGUGGAGCGCGGGGAAGUGAGAAUCCUGGAAUGAGUAGCGUUAACAAGGGUGAGAAUCCCUUGCGCCGGAAGCCCAAGGUUUCCUACGCAAUGUUUAUCAGCGUAGGGUUAGUCGGUCCUAAGCCGUAGGCAAAUGCCGAAGGCGAUGGACAGCAGGUUAAUAUUCCUGCACCGCCUGUUUUUUGUUGAUACUCGGAGGGGUGCGGAAGGGUAGAUAGGGCGUGCCUAUUGGACAUGGUACGUUCUUGACUGUAGGUAGUUGGAGCAGGAAAAUCCACUCCAACGUUACACUGAGAGUCGAGAAAAUCGGAUCCUACGGGAGUAAGAAAUCCUAUUGAACCCAAGCCGACUAGAAAAGCUUCGUUUGUAGAAACUCAGGCGACCGUACCGCAAACCGCCACUGGUGGGCAGGUAUAAAAGUACCAAGGCGUGCGAGAUAACCUCCGUUAAGGAACUAGACAAAAGAGCCCUGUAACUUUGGGAGAAAGGGCCCCCCGGAUGGUGAAGGCCACUUGCUGGCACAGCUUUUUGGGGGCGCAGAGAAGAAGCCCGGGCGACUGUUUAACAAAAACACAGGUCUGUGCUAAGGGGAAACCCUACGUAUACAGGCUGACACCUGCCCAGUGCUGGAAGGUUAAGGGGAGGGGUGAGAGCCUCGAACUGAAGCCCCAGUGAACGGCGGCCGUAACUCUAACGGUCCUAAGGUAGCGAAGUCCCUUGUCGGGUAAGUUCCGACCCGC